This 219-nucleotide unclassified non-coding RNA is filed under the name Hevea brasiliensis (rubber tree). The record is from RNAcentral. Lineage: Eukaryota; Viridiplantae; Streptophyta; Magnoliopsida; Malpighiales; Euphorbiaceae.
GUCCAACCUUAAUAUAACCAGGGGGUUGAUCGAUAAAUACCUGCUCCUUGAGAUCUCUAUGUAAGAAAGCGGAUUUGACAUCCAAUUGAAAGAUUGGCCAUGAAUUUUGAGCUGCCAAUGCAAUUACCAUUCUGAUUGUGUCAUGCCUUGCAACUGGAGCAAAAACUUCAGUAUAAUCAAUCCCAAACUCCUGCUUGUAGCCUUUAGCUACUAAGCGCG